CAAUAGCGUAUACUAACGUUGUUGCAGUUAAAAAGCUCGUAGUUGGAUUUCUGAAGGUGGUUGGAUUGGUGUGACCUCGCGUUGCCUCAACCAUACUAUUUUCAACAUAUGCGAUGAAUUGGUGUGGUUAAUUAAGUUUGAUCCGCCAUUAAAUCGCUCGUUUACUUUGAGAAAAUUAGAGUGUUCAAAGCAGGCAUCUUGCCUUGAAUAUGUUAGCAUGGAAUAAUAGCAUAGGACUUUGGUUCUAUUUGUUGGUUGUUCGAGAACCGGAGUAAUGAUUGAUAGGGACGGUUGGGGGCAUCCGUAUUCUCAAGCGAGAGGUGAAAUUCUUGGACCUUGGGAAGACGAACAGCUGCGAGAGCGUUUGCCUAGGACGUUCUCUUUAA
RNAcentral lists this ribosomal RNA (386 nucleotides) under uncultured eukaryote. RNAcentral describes it as "partial 18S ribosomal RNA". It matches the Rfam family "Eukaryotic small subunit ribosomal RNA", at positions 592 to 976 of the family's 1831-position model. The record is from RNAcentral.